GGGGCGCUGCCGUGCCUUGCGAGGAGUGCGAACUCGGGUUCCAGAGGUUAAGGUUACCCAUGGGGCCAAGGUGGAGUUCGGCCAAGGGAGGAGUCGCCGGGGGGGAGUGAGGUGGUGAUUACAGAGAACUCAUGCCCAGGCUUAGAGAAGGUGUGAGAUUGGGAUCACCGGGAGGGAGUCCGCUGGGGGAUAAGCAAGGAGCUCCCAGUAAGGAAGGGGCCUCUGGGAGUCUGCAGUGGGUCCCUCCGGGGAGAGGGUGCGGCCCCGCGGAGGCUGCAAGGGUCUAGAAUGGUGGGUGGGAAGUGGGGGUGAGGGAAGAAUGUGGAGAAGGUCUCUUCCCCUGAUCCUGGAAUAAGUAAACUGGUCCGAGGAAAGGCUGAAGAGGGAAAGCUGACCACAGGCCGGAGCAGCCAGGGUUGCUGUGUGAAUGUCCCAGGGGCCCGGCCAGGGCUGGCCCAGCACAGAGAGCCCCUCUCCCCAGCAUCCCUCCUCCCGGCCCACCUGCCCCAGCCUGACGGGACCAGGCGAGGCCCUUCGUUCUUUGCUUUCCCAGCCCUGGGUGCUCCACUCCUCCUCACUCACCCCUCAGACAUGGUGCCCACUUCUCACACCGCCCUUGGUGAGCUGCUCAUGCCAUCCACGCAACCUGUGGCUCCACCUUGACUCCACCCCACCCCGAAGGCCGGAACAGCCCGGUUUUAAGAGUUCUGUCCCAUUGUCCCAGUGUUCUAAGGCUGUGAGGGGAGGGGACAGCAGGUGCAGGGCUGGGGACGCUUAGGAUGUUCUCGUCGCAAGCCUUGGAAGGCUAGAGCAGAGCGUGGGGUCAGCUGUGGCUCCUUGUGAGACGCAAAUAAAAGGGUGGUCACGAUUUGAAGUCACCCCGCGAGCUGUAGGCUCUGGCAUUCAUUUUUCCAGCUGCACUUCUCAGCUGGAGGAAGCCUGUAUUCCUGAACUCAGAGCCAGUGGUCCGUGUGAACUAUGCCAGUGGAAAGAUCGACAUUAGAAGGAGUAGGGCCGGCCGCUGAGGCCUCAGAGGUGAUGAAGCCACACCAGUAAGAAGGGGCACUGGUGUCCCUGGUGAACAAGGGCUGCGGAUACUUGUCAAGUUCAGACAGACCACGCAGGGCUCUGGGUUGGAAGUAAAUUAGAUCAUGCUAACAAAAAUUAAGGCUGAGAAUAGGCAGAAUAACAAAACUUCCUCAUCCCACCCAGGAACGGUGGCUCACAAACCCGUGUGAGGUGCAGACUCCAGUUUCAUCUCUCUCACCCACCAGAUGGCAUCAGUAGGGCAGCGCCCGGGGAUCUGCAGUUUCACAAGCACCCCCACCCCCACCGCCCCAAGUGCUGUGGUAGAGGCUGCAGCAGGGGAGCCUCCGACCACCCUGAAAAACACGUUCCAGGAGAGUGGUUCUCAAAGUUCGGCCCCCAGACAAGCAGCAUCAGCAGCUCCUAGAAGCAUGUUGGAAAUGUUUUACUUCCUGGUCUCACCCCGGACCUACUGAAUCAGAAACCCUGAGGCAAGACCCGGUGACCUGUGAUACCAAAUGAGUCUUCUAGGUGGUUCUGAUGUGUGUGUUGUGAGGCAAUGGCCUAAGAAAAGGCAGAAUUUCAAUCAAAGGAAGGAGAGAGUUACUCCAGCCCUGCUUGCGUCCAUUCCGCCAAUUUCCACCCAAGCUCCUGCUGAGGGGAUGUGAGUAUUGGCACUGAGGGGAAGAGGGAAGCGAAGGGCCCAGAGACCAGAAAAGGAAGGUAGGGACCAUGGCUUCUUCUUUCUUUAUUGGACACUUGGUAGAUGUCACGCAGGUCUAAAAGUUACACUGUUAAAUAAUUAUUUAAAAACCGACCAGGACUAAAGCCCUGGUCCACAGCUCCAAACCAGAAGCGGAAAGGAAUGGGGGCGGUGGGCUGGGGGGUAUUCCUCCAACAUCACCAAAACCCAGAAAACGAGGACCCUAAGCUCUUUCACAGGCCAACCCAGGAUGUGGGCCCUUGGGCUAACCCUCAGGUGCCUCUGGCUGCAUCACCAUCAGGUCAGUAACCAGCAAGGAGCUGGCAGAACAGCCAGCCGAGUCCAGACAUGGACAAAAGUAACUGCAAGGACAGGAAACGGACAGGUACUGUCCAGCUGUAGAUAAGAUCACAGAGUGCAGCUAAGGCAGGUGGGGACAGGGGAGGGGCUGGGGAGCGGUAUUGCAGCAAUGCAGGAGUGUGGCCCCAGAGGCCCAGCCCAGCCCGGGCAGGGGCUCACACAUUGUGGGUCCUCCUGGUGAGCUGGGGCUCCUCGCCCACCAGCUUGGACUUGAGGUGCUCCUUGUAGGCCAGGAUGUCUCCAGGCCACUUGGUGAUUGUCUGCUUCUCACAGACCCAGAUUUCCUGUGCAACCUAGAAAGGAAAUCUGAGGCUCAAUCCUCCUGGCCAGCACUCUCCCCAUCCCUGCCCAGAAGACCACUGUCAGAAGAAUUCCAGGAAGAAACCUCCACCGCCCAGUUCCGUAUGCGGCUCACAGUUCCACUGUCUCUCUGUUCUCUGGAUGCCUAACCCAGGGGUACCGUAACCAGCAGGUUUGGAGCCUUCCAAGCCACAACCUGCUCUGUCUCCUGAUUUCCAGCUCCCCGGCAGGGCCUAGAACUGUUUAGAGGCCUCGCCCGCAGCUUCCUGUUCUCUAUCCCAUCUUUCCCAAAGCUUCAGAGAAAUGACCAGCGGCCUUUCCACCAAUGACUGGUGGUAGCCCUCUAGUCCAAAUCCUCCUUAGUAUAAUACUACUUCUAUGCUGAAGAAUCUUGAGACAGUAGUAAAAGCACCCUAUCCUCUACCCAACUCCCUCGCCAAUUCUGGCUAACAUUGCCAAAUGCCAAGUAGGCUGAUGUCUCCAAAUAGCUACUGAAAAAAUGAAAGUUUUCCAUUAAGGCUUUCUCAGUUUUUCAAAGAGCCAUAAUAUCUGGUCCUCAUCACCCUGUCUACACCCUGAGCCCUUUUCCCAAAUCCAAUAAACACAUAUUAAGUGCCCUCCACA
Long non-coding RNA from Felis catus (domestic cat), 3013 nucleotides. RefSeq lists it as uncharacterized. The transcript is spliced from 2 exons. NCBI's taxonomy places the organism in Eukaryota, Metazoa, Chordata, Mammalia, Carnivora, Felidae. The record is from RefSeq and is a predicted model, not a curated record.